CCAGACUCCUACGGGAGGCAGCAGUGAGGAAUAUUGGUCAAUGGGCGAGAGCCUGAACCAGCCAAGUCGCGUGAAGGAGGACGGUUCUAUGGAUUGUAAACUUCUUUUGUAGAGGAAUAAUGGCAGCUACGUGUAGCUGAGAUGCAUGUACUCUACGAAUAAGUAUCGGCUAACUCCGUGCCAGCAGCCGCGGUAAUACGGAGGAUACGAGCGUUAUCCGGAAUUAUUGGGUUUAAAGGGUGCGUAGGUGGCGUAUUAAGUCAGUGGUGAAAAGCUGCAGCUCAACUGUAGUCUUGCCGUUGAAACUGAUAUGCUAGAGAGGAGACGAGGUAUGCGGAAUGUGUGGUGUAGCGGUGAAAUGCAUAGAUAUCACACAGAACGCCGAUUGCGAAGGCAGCGUACCAGGCUCCGUCUGACACUGAAGCACGAAAGCGUGGGGAUCAAACAGGAUUAGAUACCCUGGUAGUCCACGCAGUAAACGAUGAAUACUAGAUUUUUGCGAUAUAGUGUAAGAGUCUAAGCGAAAGCGAUAAGCAUUCCACCUGGGGAGUACGCCGGCAACGGUGAAACUCAAAGGAAUUGACGGGGGCCCGCACAAG
Molecule: ribosomal RNA, 599 nt
Filed under: uncultured bacterium
Lineage: Bacteria
Description: bacterial SSU rRNA
Rfam family: Bacterial small subunit ribosomal RNA
Source: RNAcentral